RNAcentral lists this ribosomal RNA (253 nucleotides) under uncultured bacterium. RNAcentral describes it as "partial 16S ribosomal RNA". It matches the Rfam family "Bacterial small subunit ribosomal RNA", at positions 524 to 776 of the family's 1533-position model. The record is from RNAcentral.
UACGUAGGGUGCGAGCGUUAAUCGGAAUUACUGGGCGUAAAGCGUGCGCAGGCGGUUUGCUAAGACAGGUGUGAAAUCCCCGGGCUUAACCUGGGAACUGCGCUUGUUACUGGCAGGCUUGAGUGUGGCAGAGGGGGGUGGAAUUCCAGGUGUAGCGGUGAAAUGAGUAGAUAUCUGGAGGAACACCGGUGGCGAAGGCGGCAUCCUGGACCGGUAUUGACGCUGAGGCGCGAAAGCCAGGGGAGCAAACGGG